Molecule: transfer RNA, 68 nt
Filed under: Marmota monax (woodchuck)
Lineage: Eukaryota; Metazoa; Chordata; Mammalia; Rodentia; Sciuridae
Description: tRNA.Ala
Rfam family: tRNA (bases 5-65)
About the family: Transfer RNA (tRNA) molecules are approximately 80 nucleotides in length. Their secondary structure includes four short double-helical elements and three loops (D, anti-codon, and T loops).
Source: RNAcentral
GGAUUGUGGCUCAGUGGUAGAGCACUUGCCUAGCAUGUGUGAGGCCCUGGGUUCAAUUCUCAGCACCA